RNA transcript from Triticum aestivum (bread wheat), 1400 nucleotides. RefSeq lists it as uncharacterized. NCBI's taxonomy places the organism in Eukaryota, Viridiplantae, Streptophyta, Magnoliopsida, Poales, Poaceae. The record is from RefSeq and is a predicted model, not a curated record. The transcript has 5 exons.
CACACGCGCAGACAGACACGAUUCUCCCGGCCGCCGUCGUCGAGGAACUGAACCGUGCAGGGGGCAUGCAGCUUCCCGGAAGCUGCUAGCUUGGCAAUGCGUGUAUAUAGAGUUGUCUCCCCGGCCAUUCUCUAACACGUAUACGUACCAAGAAGAGGUCGAGGGACGAGGUGUCUCCAAGCAGAGGCCGGUCCUCUGCAAGCUGCCGCUACGAUCUUGGACGGCCGGCGGCAAACGUACUGCUGGUCCGACAUUCGUCGCGGGGAGCCAGCUGCCGGCACGGCGCACCCGAGGACCUGCGCGCGGUUGCAGCCUGCAGUUUCCUACAUUGGGCCAGUGUGGUAGCUUCUCACUGACACAAUGGAACAAGUAGAGAUUUGGGCACCCAUCUUCGCUGAUCCUCUCCCAAGCCAGGCGGAGAUUGAAGUUUACUCAACAUCCCUGGAUUAUGACACCACAGACUUCCAAGCACUCUUAGAAGGACCCCAAAAUGAACAUGAUUUGGACAGAUUGCUGAAAUGUGCAUUCAAUCCUACUUAUAUAAAGGAGGCAAAUUUAACUCACGAGGCAAGAUUUUCACACAUGCAAAAGUACAAACUUGCUAAUAAAUAAACAUGGCAAAUGGUACUGGAAAUAUGUAUCAUCAUUGCAGAUUGAAUGCAGAUUUUAUUCACCAAGUAGUGAUCAUGGCAUGACAAUACAAACACUUGGACCUGCUCCACCAGAGGCGCUGCCUGAGAAAGAGGAGGCCCUUGCCACCAUGGCCCUUGGCAGCGGCGGCGGCGGUGGAGGAGGAGGAGAGGAGGAGGAGGAGGAGGAGGAGGAGGAGGAGGAGCAUACAGAUACCCACUGCCUUGUCAUCAAAGAAGCAGGAGGCUUGCACCCACCGCCACACUGCUGGAGGAGGGGGCCUGCCAUCUACUAGGUAUGAAUUAGGAUCCAUUUGUUGCAAUAUACGACUUGUCAUUGUCUCAUGUAGUUAAAUACAUAUGAGCUUCAGAUUACAUGCCAAAAAGUUGUUGGAUGCACAGGAGUCGUGAGAAGUGCACGCAAGAGAGGAACAUGGUCGAUAAACAUGGAACCAUGUUCCCAGGACUUCUGCUCUGCAAGUGAAGGCCACAAACAUGGGGGCAGAAGAAACAACGACCAUUGGACAUCUGAAGAGGUGAAAGAGCUAGUGGAUGUUGUAUCUGUAUAUGGGGUUGGACAUUGGACUAAAUUGAAGAAUGAAAGGUUUCCGAUAUCAGUUCGAACGGCGGAGCAUCUUAAGGAUAAAUGGAGAAACUUGUUGAAAGCCUACACGGUCAGGCCCACAUCUAAAAAGAAGGUUUUAUUCCACAAGUAUGCUGAAUUCAUUAUGGAACACCACUGAUUUUCAUCUCUUUCAUUUCUUAAAUUCC